AUACAGAGGGUGCGAGCGUUAAUCGGAAUUACGGGGCGUAAAGCGCGCGUAGGCGGCUUAUUAAGUCAGAUGUGAAAUCCCCGGGCUCAACCUGGGAACUGCAUCUGAUACUGGUAAGCUAGAGUUUGGGAGAGGGAAGUAGAAUUUCAGGUGUAGCGGUGAAAUGCAUAGAGAUCUGAAGGAAUACCAGUGGCGAAGGCGACUUCUUGGCCUAAAACUGACGCUGAGGUGCGAAAGCGUGGGUAGCAAACGGGAUUAGAAACCCCAGUAGUCC
This 274-nucleotide ribosomal RNA is filed under the name uncultured bacterium. RNAcentral describes it as "partial 16S ribosomal RNA". It matches the Rfam family "Bacterial small subunit ribosomal RNA", at positions 523 to 796 of the family's 1533-position model. The record is from RNAcentral.